This is a long non-coding RNA of Astatotilapia calliptera (eastern happy), 1255 nucleotides long. Lineage: Eukaryota; Metazoa; Chordata; Actinopteri; Cichliformes; Cichlidae. The record is from Ensembl.
GGGUGUUUAGUAAAUGUAUGCACUGCAUAGACUGUGUUUCUUGCAGUAAUGCCAAAGCAUAAGACUUGUUUUUAGUGCACUUUCUAAAUUCAAAACUGAUGUAGGCCUAUUGAAAAUUCAUCUGAAGUGUGAAAUGUCCCAAAUCAACUUAUAACAGUUCAUGUUCUAAUCUGCGACUCACAUUUGUAUUAACCGAGUAUGGUUUGGUUAAAUGUUGACUGAACAAGCAAAUGUUUUUCCUCAGAAGGCCUCAUCCAAAUUCGCACACAGCUUGUGCUUUCAUAAAGUUAGAAGAAACAAUGCCGUCUAUUAUAACAUAACAACAGCAAUUAUGUAACUUGGUGCUGUUUGUAAAAAUAAUCACACAUUUGGAUGUUUACAAAGCUUCCUUUUCUCUAGCGCUUCAUCACAUGAAUUAAGUCCUGUGCUUUUGGUGGGGUCUGUUGACUGAAUGCAACCCAGGCAGAUAGUUUUUCUUUUUUUUUUUACUCUGAUCUUCUUUAAUGGGGCUUUAAAAAAUGAAUGCUCAGGAAUUAAUUGAGGAGAGAGAUGACUAACUAAAGAGAUCAUUGCAAUUUUAAUGUAGUUCCUCAUGGUGGAUGUGUGAGAUGGCGCUCAGAGCUGUUUGAUUAAACUGCCCCCUUAUACAUUUCUCCAGUCAGACUUAAAAGCUGCAUGUGUAUUUAUAGUAAUACAAGCGAUGGACAAAACAGUUUAAGGGUUUCUUCAAAUUCUGCCAUCAGACUGAACUUUGAGUGAAAUCCAACUUUACUUGUUUUUGUUUGUUUGUUUGUUUCUCUAAACUUAAACCAGGUAAACUCCUCAAGGCCACUUUCUGGUCCUCGAACCACAUUUUGGAAACCCUUAUUUGAACGCGCAUCACACAGUCAGAGUGGUCCUUGACCCUCUCUACCCCACCCAAAUCCCACUGAUGAACCAGCGAAGUUACAGUUGCUGUGUGUUGGUAUUUAUGCCAGACUGCAGCUCGCUGAAACCCCCUCCGCGCAGCAGAUUAUCGGACCAAACCAUUGCUGCGCUUCAGGUUUUAACACCUGUCACAUGAGGCUUUACAUUCGCAAAUCGCCGGCUAUCGCUGCAGCUAAGCGAGUUCAGUUUGCCACACUGCAGACGGACAUCGGACUCUGCCGUCCUGCAAAUGCUGCCACAGUGCAGCUCUCAGUGAGAUGAGCUUCCCAAAUUGCACCGACACCCCCAUUGUGCAACUGGCAGCAUCACCCACUGCCUGCAAUGCAAU